Molecule: ribosomal RNA, 423 nt
Filed under: Campylobacter gracilis
Lineage: Bacteria; Pseudomonadati; Campylobacterota; Epsilonproteobacteria; Campylobacterales; Campylobacteraceae
Description: bacterial SSU rRNA
Rfam family: Bacterial small subunit ribosomal RNA
Source: RNAcentral
AGUGAACGCUGGCGGCGUGCCUAAUACAUGCAAGUCGAACGGAAUUUAAAAGAGCUUGCUCUUUUAAAUUUAGUGGCGCACGGGUGAGUAAUAUAUAGCUAAUCUGCCCCUUGCUGGAGGACAACAGUUAGAAAUGACUGCUAAUACUCCAUACUCCUUUUUACCAUAAGAUAAAUCGGGAAAGAAUUUCGGCAAGGGAUGAGACUAUAUCGUAUCAGCUAGUCGGUGGGGUAACGGCCUACCGAGGCUAUGACGCGUAACUGGUCUGAGAGGAUGAUCAGUCACAUUGGAACUGAGACACGGUCCAAACUCCUACGGGAGGCAGCAGUAGGGAAUAUUGCGCAAUGGGGGAAACCCUGACGCAGCAACGCCGCGUGGAGGAUGACACUUUUCGGAGCGUAAACUCCUUUUGUCAGGGAAGAA